UGCCCAGCAACUCCUAUCCCUACCUCCUCGCGGUACUGGCCGGGGUACGAGUAACCUUAGGGAAGAUCGGGUAAUCAAUUCCCGAUGGGAACUUUGGUCGUAUGCUGACAGGGAAGG
Molecule: ribozyme, 117 nt
Filed under: Aedes aegypti (yellow fever mosquito)
Lineage: Eukaryota; Metazoa; Arthropoda; Insecta; Diptera; Culicidae
Description: drz-agam-1 ribozyme
Rfam family: drz-agam-1 ribozyme
Source: Rfam by way of RNAcentral